UGACAGUUUCAGAGCUUGUAUGGUUC
This 26-nucleotide non-coding RNA is filed under the name Homo sapiens (human). The record is from RNAcentral. Lineage: Eukaryota; Metazoa; Chordata; Mammalia; Primates; Hominidae.